Paramuricea clavata is the source of this 254-nucleotide non-coding RNA. The record is from the annotation of a GenBank genome assembly. Lineage: Eukaryota; Metazoa; Cnidaria; Anthozoa; Malacalcyonacea; Plexauridae.
CAGUGACCAUUAUCAUCAACUAAUUUUUCCAAGAUCGUAUACGAUGAUAUCUCAAAUGUGGGCGGGUCCAUUUACGUAUAUUAUUUCAUAAUAAGUUGCCAUGGUUUGUGUCUGAACUACCUGAAAACAUGCAUCUCAAACGUGUGUGUGUACACUGUAGGUAUUACUGAUUCGAUCAUAAGCUGCGAUGGUUAAUUUGUGUAUGGACUUAGUUUACACACAAACCAUGGCAGCUUAUUAUAGAAUAAUACAAU